RNAcentral lists this ribosomal RNA (600 nucleotides) under uncultured bacterium. Its description in RNAcentral is "bacterial SSU rRNA". It matches the Rfam family "Bacterial small subunit ribosomal RNA", at positions 90 to 711 of the family's 1533-position model. The record is from RNAcentral.
CCUUAGUGGCGCACGGGUGAGUAACGCGUGGGAAUCUGCCUAUCAGUGGGGAAUAACGACGGGAAACUGUCGCUAAUACCGCAUACGCCCUUCGGGGGAAAGAUUUAUCGCUGAUAGAUGAGCCCGCGUACGAUUAGCUAGUUGGUGAGGUAAUGGCCCACCAAGGCUUUGAUCGGUAGCCGGCCUGAGAGGGCGGACGGCCACACUGGAACUGAAACACGGUCCAGACUCCUACGGGAGGCAGCAGUGGGGAAUUUUGCGCAAUGGGGGAAACCCUGACGCAGCAACGCCGCGUGGAUGAUGAAGCCCCUUGGGGUGUAAAAUCCUUUCGGCAGGGACGAAACCCGAGCAAUCGGGCGGACGGUACCUGAAGAAGAAGCCCCGGCUAACUCCGUGCCAGCAGCCGCGGUAAUACGGGGGGGGCGAGCGUUGUUCGGAAUUAUUGGGCGUAAAGGGAGCGUAGGCGGUGCGGUAAGUCUGGUGUGAAACCUCUGGGCUCAACCCAGAGCUGGCAUCAGAAACUGCCGUGCUAGAGUACGGGAGAGGAGAGUGGAAUUCCCGGUGUAGCGGUGAAAUGCGUAGAUAUCGGGAGGAACAUCG